GCAUUUACACAGGGCGGUGGCGGCGGCGGUGGUGGUGAUGGUGACGGUGCUGUGCUACAGAUGGAGUCUGGAUCUGUCACGCAGGCUGGAGUGCAGUCGCGCGAUCUCAGCUCACUGCAACCUAUGCCUCCCAGGUCAAGCGAUUCUCCUGCCUCGGCCUCCCAAGGAACUGGAACCACAGGCGCGCGCCACUGCGCCCAAGGAUUUUCACUUUUAACUGUACAGUGAAGCACAGACUUCUGAGCCAGACUGCUUGGUCUGAACUCUGGUGUCACCACUUAGUAAGUUCUGGUUUGAAUGUACUCACUGAGUGGUCUUCAUAAAUUACCUCUCUGCACUUGAGUCUCCUGUCUGUAAAAUGGGGAUAAUAAUCAUUACAACGAAGCCUCAUAGGAUUCUGGUGGAGACCAAAUGCAUUAAUACAUAUGCAAAGCAUUUGGAACAGCUGGCAUAUAUAAGUGCCAUAUAUCUAUUAUUAAAAAUUUUUAAAUUAUA
Molecule: long non-coding RNA, 495 nt
Filed under: Homo sapiens (human)
Lineage: Eukaryota; Metazoa; Chordata; Mammalia; Primates; Hominidae
Description: uncharacterized LOC105376892, transcript variant 1 (LOC105376892)
Source: RNAcentral